Molecule: long non-coding RNA, 946 nt
Organism: Eutrema salsugineum
Lineage: Eukaryota; Viridiplantae; Streptophyta; Magnoliopsida; Brassicales; Brassicaceae
Exons: 2
Source: RefSeq, a predicted model, not a curated record
AGCGUCUUAAAAACUAUUAAAGAAAUGUUCAACAGAAGAAGAGUUUACUCAAAAGCAUCGUAGAGCGUAAGAAGAUGUCCACCGUGGCCGUGCGCGGCAUAGGUAACUCAGGUAAAAGUAUUUGAUUGAAUCUUGAUGAAAUAUUUGGGUCAAUAAAAACAAUCAGUAUUUGAUCACACAGUGUAAUUUGAUUGCAAGAGCGUAGGAACGUGUCUUCCCGUUCUCGGCAGCAGGAAAUAAUGUUCCUGGAGAUAUCGAGGCUGGAGAGAGACGCUGCAGUGAGGGCCGUGAACGAGUUGGGUCAGCCCAGGUCCAAGAUCACACACCUCGUCUUCUGCAGCCCAUCACGCCGCGUCACCACCACACCUGACUACCAUCUCACAAGGCUCCUCGACGUUGGCCCAUCGGUUCAACAUCUCUCGUACCAGCGAGGCUUCUCGAGAGACGCAGCCUCGUCACCAUAGAGAGAUCGCUGCUGCAGUACCUGAUGUUAAGGUCCUUGAGAAGGAGCUCAAAGCUGCCCGCAAGAAGUCUGAAACUGACCGGAUUCAACUUAGGCUGAAAAUUGCAGAGACGGCUAGCUAUAUUGCGUUCUGAGCUCGGGCUGCCUCAGGAGGGGCAGACUCACCCUGUGCGUACUGAAAACUCAAGGGGAUCUCGUCGCACUCGCAACUGAGGUUGGAUGUACCGUUAGCCUUUGUGAGAAGGCUUAGACUCGAAGAUUGAAGAAGUUAUUUACUUGUGAGUUGUGAAAUGAACACUCUAACUGAGAAAAGAGUGUCCGAAUUUUAAUAAUGUGUCUCAGCAUCCCGUUCUAUCCUUAUGAUAUUGAUGUUUGGUUGUACUAUCUUUCUUUUUUUUUUUUUUCUUUUCUUGUUUUUAUGAACUUUUUGUAUUAAAGAGAUGAUUCUCUAGGGGAUAUUCAAGGUUUUGCCGUUUGGUUCUG